Molecule: long non-coding RNA, 2631 nt
Filed under: Lactuca sativa (garden lettuce)
Lineage: Eukaryota; Viridiplantae; Streptophyta; Magnoliopsida; Asterales; Asteraceae
Description: long non-coding RNA (LSAT_LNC005882)
Source: RNAcentral
GGUAACAUAAUGGAAGUACAUUACUAAUAUGGGCAAAAAAACAAAGUAAAAGUACAUUGCUAAUAUUCAUAUAUAAACAUAUAAUACCAAUGGCUAAGUAGUUUUCAAAAUAAGAGAAACAAUCCAAAAGUUUCAAGAUGUUACUAAGAUAAACAACCAAAAAUAUACAGUUACAACAAUUAACAUAAUUAUGUUCAAAUUAUAUUGUUUAAAUCGGUUCCCAUGCAAAUAAAUUACUUAGAGACAUAACAGACCAGGAAAACAUACUUACUGGAUAACUAACAGCAAAAAUAUGAGUUUUUUAGGAGAUAACCAUGAGAGAUAAGUAAAAGUUGUAGUUGUCAAUUAUAUUAUCUAAAUAGAGCAUUCAUGUUAUUGAAUGAAUCAAAGCACAAUCAAAUUUCACAAACAUCCAGAUCCAAUAAAGAAGAAAUACUUUUCGCGGAUAAUAUAAAACAGAAAGAGUAAAGUUAACAAAACCGGAAUGAUUCCAUCUCUAGGUUAUAACCCGUGUGUUACACGGUUGACAAAGUAAAACGACAUUAAAACUUUAAAAAAACAUAACCAUUCAUAGAUUUACAAACAUUUUUUUUAUACAAAAUUAAGUGUUUUGUUUGAAAAAUGUAUAUUUGUUAAUUUAAAAUGAUAUUAGUAACUUUUUAACAUAAGUAUUUUGUCAUUUUUUUUUGUUAAUUUAAAAUGAUAUUAUUAAGCCCUUUUUUGCAUUUUUUUUUUUUGAAUUCAAAACUAAUUCUACGCAAUAAAGAUAUUCACUAAAAAAUGCAAAAGUAACUUAUGAGGUUUUCACAUUUAUUCAUAUUUACAUUGUGUUAUUAGAAACUACUAAAUAAAAGAUAUCACUAAAAAAAGCAUAAUAAGUUUCUUUAAUAAAAGUGUAUAAUUUACAAGAAAAUGUUUAUUUAGAAAUCAGUUAGACAUAAAUAGUUCUGAUCAUCUUUUUCAUAUGGUUAAUUUGCAAUUUUCUUCUUAUGAUUGAUACUAACCUGAAAAAGGAUGAAUGUUGUAUUAAGAGGUCAUUAUAUUGGUCUAAGUGUUGUUGGCAAGGGCAAAAUGGUCCAACUGUUACCCAGGUUGAUAUAAUGUUGUCAAUGAUACCUUUUUUAAGAUGUGGUUGCUUGAAACAUUCAAUCAAAUACCUAAUCUGCAUCAAAAACAAUAAGAAAUAUGUGGUUAAAAACCAAAGAUUUAUAGCAAAAAUAAAAAUAAAAAUCAUUCCCUGUAAUAUCAAACAUGUCUACACAUUAAUACACACGUACUUUGUCAAAUAUUUGUAUUCAUCUCGUAGCAACAAUCUGAAUGCACAUUAACACCAUUAUGAAAAUUCAAUCAACAGGUCCUAUUUAUUGUAGAUUAACAACUUUAUUAAAUAUAUCCUUAAUAGCUAUCAUUUUAUAUUAUAAGAUGUCCAACACUUUUGUAAUAACCAAAUAAGAUUCACUCUUUGUAAUACAUCUACCACUAUUAUCAAUCUGCAAUCUGCAUACGUAUGGAACUCAUGUUUGUUUUCUUUUUUAAUAUAACUUUUAUAAAAGAGGGCAAUUCUAAUUAGGUAAAAUGAAGCAACUUCGAACUAACUUCAAACAACGCAUGCAAUGAAUUACCCAAAUACCCAAUUGAAAAUCAAAGCAAUACAAUUCCAAAAAAAACACUCCGAUAAAGUAAAAUCAACAACAAAAUUACAGAAUCUGUUAAUUUUAUAAAAGCAAUUAGAAUUAGGUCAAAACACCCAUAAAAUAUAUCAAAAUGCACCUGAUUUUUCGCAUCCCUCAGCAAUUGCAACUGAAGAGCAUGAAAAUCAUCUGAAAUGGGAGGAAAAAAUUACAAAAAAUACAAAGAGCAUACUCCAUAUGUUUUUCAGCCAAUAUCCAUACACUCACUCAAAAUAACAAAAACCUCUAAGUAUCAACACAUAAAUUAAAGAUUGGGGUUUCUUUGACAUUUGUUGUAGAUGCGAGAAGAGUCCGUUGUGAGUGAAGGAAAGGGAAAAACCGGCGAUACAUGAUGAUAUCACAAAUGUAAAUUGGUCACGUACCUUACUUGAUUACCUUUCGCCGCCUUCCAUGUCCGAUAUUUGAUGGUGGUGGCGAGAAGAUAUCUGCCUGAAGUUCUCCAAUCUGAAAUAACUUCAUCCCUUAAUCUUAUAUUACGAUUUAAUCUAAAACAAAGGAAACGGAAAAAUCAAGAAUGGGUAAAUUCACCUCAAUCAUGAAUAUGCUCAAAACCAAUUUCGUCUUAAGUGUGUAUGUAUCUGUGAGAGCUCCGACCUUCACACAACCGCCGAUCGAUUUAACUAAUUUUCAAUGGAUUCAUCUGAAUCGAGAUUUUAUGUAAGACAAUGUAAGCUUGAUAAUAAAAAUAAUGAUGGAAAAGGAAUGAUAUACAGAAGAAAUAAAAAAAAAUGAUAUAUAGAUCUUAUGUCUCCGAUUUAAGGACAUGUUGAAGAAAAAGUGACGAUCUAACUAAAAUUGGGGAAGGAGAGUGAGUAUGAAUAAUUGAUAUUGAAGAACAGAGAAAAAAGUAACCUACGAAAUUCAUUUGGAAAUACAACCAGGUUCCUAAAUUAAAGGCAUUUGAGAUGAUCGGGUCAAUUAGAAAUCUGCGAGAUCUAAG